AAGAUCAGUUGCUUCUGGUUUAUGAUUACAUGCCAAAUCGCAGCCUUGACAGGGUGCUUUUUAGAAAUCCAGAAAAUUUGACAGCAGCAGCACCUCUUAAUUGGGAAAGGAGAAAGAAAAUAAUUAGUGGGUUAGCAGCUGCACUGCAUUAUCUACAUGAACAAUUGGAGACACAAAUAAUUCAUAGAGAUGUAAAAGCAAGUAAUGUAAUGCUGGACUCACAUUAUAAUGCCAGGCUCGGUGACUUUGGCUUGGCAAGGUGGCUUGAACAUGAACUUGAGCACAAAACCAGAAUUCCUUCAAUGAGAAACCACCAGUUUCGCUUGGCAGAUACAACC
RNAcentral lists this long non-coding RNA (338 nucleotides) under Jatropha curcas. RNAcentral describes it as "long non-coding RNA (JCUR_LNC001141)". Lineage: Eukaryota; Viridiplantae; Streptophyta; Magnoliopsida; Malpighiales; Euphorbiaceae. The record is from RNAcentral.